UACGUAGGGGGCAAGCGUUAUCCGGAUUUACUGGGUGUAAAGGGAGCGUAGACGGUUGUAUAAGUCUGGAGUGAAAGCCCGGGGCCCAACCCCGGGACUGCUUUGGAAACUGUGUAACUUGAGUACAGGAGGGGCAGGCGGAAUUCCUGGUGUAGCGGUGAAAUGCGUAGAUAUUAGGAGGAACACCAGUGGCGAAGGCGACUUUCUGGACAGUAACUGACGUUGAGGCACGAAAGUGUGGGGAGCAAACAGG
Molecule: ribosomal RNA, 253 nt
Filed under: uncultured Eubacteriales bacterium
Lineage: Bacteria; Bacillati; Bacillota; Clostridia; Eubacteriales
Description: uncultured Clostridiales bacterium partial 16S ribosomal RNA
Rfam family: Bacterial small subunit ribosomal RNA
Source: RNAcentral